GUGAACGCUGGCGGUAGGCCUCACACCUGCAAGUCGCACGGCAGCACAGUAAGAGCUUGCUCUUACGGGUGGCGAGUGGCGGACGGGUGAGGAAUACAUCGGAAUCUACUUUUUCGUGGGGGAUAACGUAGGGAAACUUACGCUAAUACCGCAUACGACCUACGGGUGAAAGCAGGGGAUCUUCGGACCUUGCGCGAUUGAAUGAGCCGAUGUCGGAUUAGCUAGUUGGCGGGGUAAAGGCCCACCAAGGCGACGAUCCGUAGCUGGUCUGAGAGGAUGAUCAGCCACACUGGAACUGAGACACGGUCCAGACUCCUACGGGAGGCAGCAGUGGGGAAUAUUGGACAAUGGGCGCAAGCCUGAUCCGGCCAUACCGCGUGGGUGAAGAAGGCCUUCGGGUUGUAAAGCCCUUUUGUUGGGAAAGAAAAGCAGCAGGUUAAUACCCCGCUGUUCUGACGGUACCCAAAGAAUAAGCACCGGCUAACUUCGUG
This 491-nucleotide ribosomal RNA is filed under the name uncultured bacterium. RNAcentral's name for it is "partial 16S ribosomal RNA". It matches the Rfam family "Bacterial small subunit ribosomal RNA", at positions 29 to 507 of the family's 1533-position model. The record is from RNAcentral.